This 377-nucleotide long non-coding RNA is filed under the name Naja naja (Indian cobra). RNAcentral's name for it is "lncRNA (ENSNNAG00000009143.1)". The record is from RNAcentral. Lineage: Eukaryota; Metazoa; Chordata; Lepidosauria; Squamata; Elapidae.
GGAUCACUCGUGGGCGGAAGACGGUGGGCAGAACGGCUUCUGUGCUCUUCCCAGGAUGGAAGCAGCCGCUGGCAGACAAAGAGGAUGGCAAUAAGAACACUCUGCACAACUCAGAAUAACAAGCAACAUUGAAUAGCAAGCAAGUCAGUGCAGAAAUCAGAAUAUUUUCCAUUUCCCUCAGAGCACCACACAAUUCUUCACCUUCCUCAGCAGGAGGUCCUUCUCAGCUGAGUGGGGGGCAGCCUGUCAGCCCUGAAGCCAUAGUGGAGCAUCUUCGGGGCCAUCUCAAUGAGGCCAGUCGGAGCUGUGGAAACGGGAAGGGAGAAUAGAGAUAGAGGGAAGUGUGGACUGGAGCCAAUUAGAGUUGGCACUUUGAC